This is a long non-coding RNA of Ipomoea nil (Japanese morning glory), 107 nucleotides long. RefSeq lists it as uncharacterized. Lineage: Eukaryota; Viridiplantae; Streptophyta; Magnoliopsida; Solanales; Convolvulaceae. The transcript is spliced from 3 exons. The record is from RefSeq and is a predicted model, not a curated record.
ACAACUUACAUUUAACUCGUCCAUUUCAACUACUUUGACCUAAUUAGACAGAAUUAAUUGGGCAAAAUUCAGGAAUCAGUGAAAUUGCAUCAGUGAAUCAUAUCAAA